UUACCGGUUUGAAAGGACUGAAAGUUAGCAAUACACAGGUGCUGCAUGGCUGUCGUCAGCUCGUGCCGUGAGGUGUUGGGUUAAGUCCCGCAACGAGCGCAACCCUGCAUUAGUUGCCAUCAUAUGGGACUCUAAUGGACUGCCUACGCAAUAGGAGGAAGGCGGGGAUGACGUCAAGUCCUCAUGGCCCUUACACCGGGCCACACACGUGCUACAAUGGACUACAUGGGGCACCGCGAGGGAAGCAAUCCCAAAAGUGUCUCAGUUCGGAUUGGAGUCUGCAACUCGACUCCAUGAAGCUGGAAUUGCUAGUAAUCGCGAUCAGCACGCGCGGUGAAUACGUUCCCGGGCCUUGUACACACCGCCCGUCAAGCCAUGGAAGCUGGAGACCGAA
Molecule: ribosomal RNA, 394 nt
Filed under: uncultured bacterium
Lineage: Bacteria
Description: bacterial SSU rRNA
Rfam family: Bacterial small subunit ribosomal RNA
Source: RNAcentral